Molecule: ribosomal RNA, 472 nt
Filed under: uncultured bacterium
Lineage: Bacteria
Description: bacterial SSU rRNA
Rfam family: Bacterial small subunit ribosomal RNA
Source: RNAcentral
GAGUUUGAUCCUGGCUCAGAGCGAACGCUGGCGGCAGGCUUAACACAUGCAAGUCGAGCGGGNGUAGCAAUACGUCAGCGGCAGACGGGUGAGUAACGCGUGGGAACAUACCUUUUGGUUCGGAACAACACAGGGAAACUUGUGNUAAUACCGAAUAAGCCCUUACGGGGAAAGAUUUAUCGCCGAAAGAUUGGCCCGCGUCUGAUUAGCUAGUUGGUGAGGUAAUGGCUCACCAAGGNGACGAUCAGUAGCUGGUCUGAGAGGAUGAUCAGCCACAUUGGGACUGAGACACGGCCCAAACUCCUACGGGAGGCAGCAGUGGGGAAUAUUGGACAAUGGGCGCAAGCCUGAUCCAGCCAUGCCGCGUGAGUGAUGAAGGCCCUAGGGUUGUAAAGCUCUUUUGUGCGGGAAGAUAAUGACGGUACCGCAAGAAUAAGCCCCGGCUAACUUNGUGCCANCAGCCNCGGUAAUA